GCUUUAACGGGUUCAAGUCUGAUCCCACACAGAAUUACUCUACUAUCUCUCGUCUUGGAAUCAUGCUUCGCUCCGGCCUUGACCUCUACAGUUUCCACCGGUAGCGGCUUCACUUNNNNNNNNNNNGCUCCUCCGGUUCGUGUAUGAGCUCCUGGUGGAGUCGAGUGAAGUGAAGUGAUUUCUCUGCAAUCCUUGAAUCGAAUAUGUCGCAAUCAGGGUAUGAUAUUAAUGUUCUGUUU
This 239-nucleotide unclassified non-coding RNA is filed under the name Hevea brasiliensis (rubber tree). The record is from RNAcentral. Lineage: Eukaryota; Viridiplantae; Streptophyta; Magnoliopsida; Malpighiales; Euphorbiaceae.